This 237-nucleotide unclassified non-coding RNA is filed under the name Hevea brasiliensis (rubber tree). Lineage: Eukaryota; Viridiplantae; Streptophyta; Magnoliopsida; Malpighiales; Euphorbiaceae. The record is from RNAcentral.
GAUUAAACAUCAAAUUAUACCCAAACCAGCAAGAACCUCCCAUAGUUGAGCUUGUGCUAUGCCCCUAGCUGCGCUUCCUGUCCAACAACUACUUCCAAUUCCUUUUUGGCUGAAAGGAAAAUCUAUUCUACUUCCUGUAGGUAAUCAUCUAUUUCAGUUGGAGUGAGAAUUCUGAAUACUUUGUCUGUUCCAAUAAUUCCAAUCUCAAUGUUUUUGCUGGAGAUCUGUCCUUCAAAU